CUUGUUAGGGUUUUCUCAGUCUCCGCGGCUCCUCGCCCUUCAGCUUCUUUGGGCGAGAAGCCCUUUUUACAAUUCUUCUAUGUUCCCUGAUUUUUUUGAUUUGAUCUCUAUUCUCUCCUUUCCUCCUGUUGGAAGAUCUUAUGCUAAUUUCUUAGAUUACAGGGUCAUACAUCGCUUCUCUGAUAUUUGCUAAGCUUUUCUAUGGUUUCUGUUAGUGAAUGAUGUUGUUUUCAUCCAUUGUUUAUUUUAGCUGUGUUUAAGGAUGGCCUAAUAUUGCAAUUGUUUGCUGCUGGAUUUUGGGUGCAGCAAGGAAUCUAUCGUUAGGCCAAAUGUUUCUCCUUCCUUUAGCUCCGAAUCAUCCUUUCUAGGGUUUUCGGUGACAUGGUAGGUAAAUUGCUUCAAUUUUUUUU
This 410-nucleotide long non-coding RNA is filed under the name Phoenix dactylifera (date palm). RNAcentral's name for it is "long non-coding RNA (PDAC_LNC011504)". Lineage: Eukaryota; Viridiplantae; Streptophyta; Magnoliopsida; Arecales; Arecaceae. The record is from RNAcentral.